GGCGGAGGCUAAACACUGCAAGUCGAGCGCGCCUUCGGGUGAGCGGCGGACGGGUUAGUAACGCGUGGGAACGUGCCCUUCUCUACGGAAUAGCCUCUGGAAACGGAGAGUAAUACCGUAUACGCCCUUUGGGGGAAAGAUUUAUCGGAGAAGGAUCGGCCCGCGUUAGAUUAGGUAGUUGGUGGGGUAACGGCCUACCAAGCCUACGAUCUAUAGCUGGUUUAGAGGAUGAUCAGCAACACUGGGACUGAGACACGGCCCAGACUCCUACGGGAGGCAGCAGUGGGGAAUCUUAGACAAUGGGGGCAACCCUGAUCUAGCCAUGCCGCGUGAGUGAUGAAGGCCUUAGGGUCGUAAAGCUCUUUCGCCUGUGAUGAUAAUGACAGUAGCAGGUAAAGAAACCCCGGCUAACUCCGUGCCAGCAGCCGCGGUAAUACGGAGGGGGUUAGCGUUGUUCGGAAUUACUGGGCGUAAAGCGCGCGUAGGCGGAUUAGAAAGUUGGGGGUGAAAUCCCGGGGCUCAACCCCGGAACUGCCUCCAAAACUGCUAGUCUAGAGUUCGAGAGAGGUGAGUGGAAUUCCCGAGUGUAGAGGUGAAAUUCGUAGAUAUUCGGAGGAACACCAGUGGCGAAGGCGGCUCACUGGCUCGAUAUAGAACGCUGAGGUGCGAAAGUGUUGGGAGCAACCAGAUUAGAUCCCUGUUAAUCCCACACGUAAACAUGAUUGCCA
RNAcentral lists this ribosomal RNA (728 nucleotides) under uncultured Ruegeria sp. RNAcentral describes it as "bacterial SSU rRNA". It matches the Rfam family "Bacterial small subunit ribosomal RNA", at positions 38 to 818 of the family's 1533-position model. Lineage: Bacteria; Pseudomonadati; Pseudomonadota; Alphaproteobacteria; Rhodobacterales; Roseobacteraceae. The record is from RNAcentral.